CAGGAGGGCAUCCGGAAACUGGUUUUUGAUUUGCUCGCCCCCCUGCACAUCGAUGUCGAGGAGCACGUCGACCCCACCGUCGAGCUGCUUCUUCACGGCGUUGAUGCUGGUGCCGUACCUGUGGCCAAAAACCUCGGCGAAUUCGAUGAACUCACGUUUCGAGACCAUGCGAUCGAACUCGGCG
Molecule: unclassified non-coding RNA, 184 nt
Filed under: fungal sp.
Lineage: Eukaryota; Fungi
Description: partial internal transcribed spacer region
Source: RNAcentral